This 300-nucleotide unclassified non-coding RNA is filed under the name uncultured fungus. RNAcentral describes it as "sequence contains 5.8S rRNA gene, ITS2". The record is from RNAcentral. Lineage: Eukaryota; Fungi.
UCCUCCGCUUAUUGAUAUGCUUAAGUUCAGCGGGUAGUCCUACCUGAUUUGAGGCCAGAUAAUAAAAAGUCAUGUCCACGAGGUGGAACUUGUAUUGGAAAGCGGACAAGCGUCCUAGAAACGAGGCCACUCCGAAGAAUGUCCUUAGCGAAAUACUUAUUACGCCAAGUCAAACCAAGUCUCAAAGACAGAUCCAGCUAAUACAUUUAAGGUGAGCCGCUCGUAAAAGCGGCAAGCACCCAAUUCCAAGCCGAGACUAGAGCACAAAACCCAAGUCAAGGUUGAUAUUUUCAUGACACU